UGUCUCUCUCCUUUUCUCUCUCCGUCUCUCUCUCAUAUGUUGGACAGGUGAUUCUUCUCUCUAGAUGUUGGACAGGUGUUUCUCCUCUCUAGAUGUUGGACAGGUGUUUCUCCUCUCUAGAUGUUGGGCAGGUAAUUCUCCUCUCUAGAUGUUGGACAGGUGUUUCUCCUCUCUAGAUGUUGGACAGGUGAUUCUCCUCUCUAGAUGUUGGACAGGUGUUUCUCCUCUCUAGAUGUUGGACAGGUGUUUCUCCUCUCUAGAUGUGGGACAGGUGUUUCUCCUCUCUAGAUGUGGGACAGGUGUUUCUCCUCUCUAGAUGUUGGACAGGUGUUUCUCCUCUCUAGAUGUUGGACAGGUGAUUCUCCUCUCUAGAUGUUGGACAGGUGUUUCUCCUCUCUAGAUGUUGGACAGGUGAUUCUCCUCUCUAGAUGAUGGACAGGUGUUUCUCCUCUCUAGAUGUUGGACAGGUGAUUCUCCUCUCUAGAUGUUGGACAGGUGAUUCUCCUCUCUAGAUGUUGGACAGGUGUUUCUCCUCUCUAGAUGUUGGACAGGUGUUUCUCCUCUCUAGAUGUUGGACAGGUGUUUCUCCUCUCUAGAUGUUGGACAGGUGAUUCUCCUCUCUAGAUGUUGGACAGGUGAUUCUCCUCUCUAGAUGUUGGACAGGUGAUUCUCCUCUCUAGAUGUUGGGCAGGUGAUUCUCCUCUCUAGAUGUUGGACAGGUGUUUCUCCUCUCUAGAUGUUGGACAGGUGAUUCUCCUCUCUAGAUGUUGGGCAGGUGAUUCCCCUCUCUAGAUGUUGGACAGGUGUUUCUCCUCUCUAGAUGUGGGACAGGUGUUUCUCCUCUCUAGAUGUUGGAGAGGUGAUUCUUCUCUCUCUAGAUGUUGGUCAGGUGAUUCUUCUCUCUCUAGAUGUUGGACAGGUGAUUCUCCUCUCUAGAUGUUGGACAGGUGUUUCUCCUCUCUAGAUGUUGGACAGGUGAUUCUCCUCUCUAGAUGUUGGACAGGUGUUUCUCCUCUCUAGAUAUUGGACAGGUGUUUCUCCUCUCUAGAUGUUGGACAGGUGAUUCUUCUCUCUCUAGAUGUUGGGCAGGUGAUUCUCCUCUCUAGAUGUUGGACAGGUGAUUCUCCUCUCUAGAUGUUGGACAGGUGAUUCUCCUCUCUAGAUGUUGGACAGGUGUUUCUCCUCUCUAGAUGUUGGACAGGUGUUUCUCCUCUCUAGAUGUUGGACAGGUGAUUCUCCUCUCUAGAUGUUGGACAGGUGUUUCUCCUCUCUAGAUGUUGGACAGGUGUUUCUCCUCUCUAGAUGUUGGACAGGUGAUUCUCCUCUCUAGAUGUUGGACAGGUGUUUCUCCUCUCUAGAUGUUGGACAGGUGAUUCUCCUCUCUAGAUGUUGGACAGGUGAUUCUUCUCUCUCUAGAUGUUGGGCAGGUGUUUCUCCUCUCUAGAUGUUGGACAGGUGAUUCUCCUCUCUAGAUGUUGGGCAGGUGAUUCUCUCUCUCUAGAUGUUGGACAGGUGAUUCUCUCUCUAGAUGUUGGACAGGUGAUUCUCCUCUCUAGAUGUUGGGCAGGUGAUUCUCUCUCUCUAGAUGUUGGACAGGUGAUUCUCUCUCUAGAUGUU
This is a long non-coding RNA of Oncorhynchus keta (chum salmon), 1617 nucleotides long. RefSeq lists it as uncharacterized. The transcript has 3 exons. Lineage: Eukaryota; Metazoa; Chordata; Actinopteri; Salmoniformes; Salmonidae. The record is from RefSeq and is a predicted model, not a curated record.